GAGGAGAUGAUUUCUUUGGUGGUGGUGGUGAAGUGUAGUAAUAUGGUGAUGGAGGAGAUUUCUUGGGUGGUGGAGGAGAGCUAUAGUAGUAUGGUGGAGGUGGUGACUUAACUGGUGGUGGUGGAGAAGUGUAGUGAUAUGGUGGAGGAGGUGAUUUCUUGGGUGGUGGAGGAGAGUUGUAGUAGUAUGGUGGAGGAGGUGACUUAACCGGCGGUGGUGGAGAAGUGUAGUGAUAUGGUGGAGGAGGUGAUUUCUUGGGUGGUGGAGGAGAGUUGUAGUAGUAUGGUGGAGGAGGUGACUUAACCGGCGGUGAUGGAUAAGUGUAGUAGUAGUAUGGUGGAGGAGGUGACUUAACCGGCGGUGAUGGAUAAGUGUAGUGAUAUGGUGGAGGAGGUGAUUUCUUGGGUGGUGGAGGAGAGCUAUAGUAGUAUGGUGGAGGAGGUGACUUAACCGGCGGUGGUGGAGAAGUGUAGUGAUACGGUGGAGGAGGUGAUUUCUUUGGUGGUGGAGGAGAGCUAUAGUAGUAUGGUGGGGGAGGUGACUUAGCCGGCGGUGGUGGAGAGUUGUAGUAGUAAGGUAGAGGAGGAGACUUCUUUGGGGGUGGUGGAGAG
Molecule: long non-coding RNA, 611 nt
Filed under: Capsicum annuum
Lineage: Eukaryota; Viridiplantae; Streptophyta; Magnoliopsida; Solanales; Solanaceae
Description: long non-coding RNA (CANN_LNC018309)
Source: RNAcentral